RNAcentral lists this non-coding RNA (68 nucleotides) under Streptomyces sp. NRRL F-4428. RNAcentral's name for it is "Streptomyces RNA 2736". It matches the Rfam family "Streptomyces RNA 2736". Rfam says of the family: Identified by deep sequencing of transcriptome at the end of exponential growth phase. Appears smaller on northern blot than sequencing transcript. This indicates processing step. The record is from Rfam by way of RNAcentral. Lineage: Bacteria; Bacillati; Actinomycetota; Actinomycetes; Kitasatosporales; Streptomycetaceae.
CGCCCCGAUCCGGGUCCCGUGGGGGGAAUCCGUUUCGGGGGGAAAAGGGAAGCGCCCCGACCGUCGAC